Molecule: ribosomal RNA, 433 nt
Filed under: uncultured bacterium
Lineage: Bacteria
Description: partial 16S ribosomal RNA
Rfam family: Bacterial small subunit ribosomal RNA
Source: RNAcentral
AGCGAACGCUGGCGGCAGGCUUAACACAUGCAAGUCGAACGCAUCCUUCGGGGUGAGUGGCAGACGGGUGAGUAACACGUGGGAACGUACCCUUCGAUCUGGGAUAACUUCGGGAAACUGGAGCUAAUACCGGAUACGCCCUUUUGGGGAAAGGUUUACUGUCGAAGGAUCGGCCCGCGUCUGAUUAGCUAGUUGGUGGGGUAACGGCCUACCAAGGCGACGAUCAGUAGCUGGUCUGAGAGGAUGAUCAGCCACACUGGGACUGAGACACGGCCCAGACUCCUACGGGAGGCAGCAGUGGGGAAUAUUGGACAAGGGGCGCAAGCCUGAUCCAGCCAUGCCGCGUGAGUGAUGAAGGCCUUAGGGUUGUAAAGCUCUUUUGUCCGGGACGAUAAUGACGGUACCGGAAGAAUAAGCCCCGGCUAACUUCGUG